Molecule: ribosomal RNA, 497 nt
Filed under: uncultured bacterium
Lineage: Bacteria
Description: partial 16S ribosomal RNA
Rfam family: Bacterial small subunit ribosomal RNA
Source: RNAcentral
GAUGAACGCUGGCGGCGUGCCUAAUACAUGCAAGUCGAGCGAACGGACGAGAAGCUUGCUUCUCUGAUGUUAGCGGCGGACGGGUGAGUAACACGUGGAUAACCUACCUAUAAGACUGGGAUAACUUCGGGAAACCGGAGCUAAUACCGGGUAAUAUUUUGAACCGCAUGGUUCAAAAGUGAAAGACGGUCUUGCUGUCACUUAUAGAUGGAUCCGCGCUGCAUUAGCUAGUUGGUAAGGUAACGGCUUACCAAGGCAACGAUGCAUAGCCGACCUGAGAGGGUGAUCGGCGACACUGGAACUGAUACACGGUCCAGACUCCUCCGGGAGGCGGCAGUAGGGAAUAUUACUGCAUGGUCGGAGGCCUCACGGAGCAGCGCCGCGUGAGUGAUGAAGGUCUUCGGAUCGUAAAAAUCUGUUAUUAGGGAAGAACAUAUGUGUAAGUAAUUGUGCACAUCUUGACGGUACCUAAUCAGAAAGCCACGGCUAACUACGUG